RNAcentral lists this ribosomal RNA (497 nucleotides) under uncultured bacterium. Its description in RNAcentral is "partial 16S ribosomal RNA". It matches the Rfam family "Bacterial small subunit ribosomal RNA", at positions 28 to 507 of the family's 1533-position model. The record is from RNAcentral.
GACGAACGCUGGCGGCGUGCCUAAUACAUGCAAGUUGAGCGCUGAAGGUUGGUACUUGUACCAACUGGAUGAGCAGCGAACGGGUGAGUAACGCGUGGGGAAUCUGCCUUUGAGCGGGGGACAACAUUUGGAAACGAAUGCUAAUACCGCAUAAAAACUUUAAACACAAGUUUUAAGUUUGAAAGAUGCAAUUGCAUCACUCAAAGAUGAUCCCGCGUUGUAUUAGCUAGUUGGUGAGGUAAAGGCUCACCAAGGCGAUGAUACAUAGCCGACCUGAGAGGGUGAUCGGCCACAUUGGGACUGAGACACGGCCCAAACUCCUACGGGAGGCAGCAGUAGGGAAUCUUCGGCAAUGGACGAAAGUCCGACCGAGCAACGCCGCGUGAGUGAAGAAGGUUUUCGGAUCGUAAAACUCUGUUGGUAGAGAAGAACGUUGGUGAGAGUGGAAAGCUCAUCAAGUGACGGUAACUACCCAGAAAGGGGCGGCUAACUACGUG